This 679-nucleotide long non-coding RNA is filed under the name Elaeis guineensis (African oil palm). RNAcentral describes it as "long non-coding RNA (EGUI_LNC036087)". Lineage: Eukaryota; Viridiplantae; Streptophyta; Magnoliopsida; Arecales; Arecaceae. The record is from RNAcentral.
UCGAUUACAAGUUACUCUAGAUAGAUACAACCAUUGUUCGGACUCAGUAAAUCUUAAUAUCAAAAAGUUAUAUGUCAUUCCCCUACUCCAAGAGGCAUCGAAGCCCUCAAGAACCAUUCGACAAUCUGCUUGCAAUGGUUCUUCAAGAAAAUCUCCACCCCAAGAAUGUAAAUCUUCUGAUAACUUACUUAUAAUAGUUAAAAGAUCCAGAUUUACUCUAAUCAAUUAGGAUACCUCAGAUCUUUCAGAUAUUGCAUCCGAAGAUUAGUAUACAAAAGGAGAAGCGUAAGUGCUCUUCAAUCAAAUCACCCAACUCUAAUCGAUCUACUGGUUUUGAAUCCCCUCAUCUAACCAAGUGUAUAGUUUGAGAGGAACAGCUUGCUGGUUCUCCCACUCAUAAGUCAUCUUUUAGCUUUGGUUCUUUAACCCUAGUUCCUUAUGCCGACUGGAUGGAUCAUCUAAUGAUACCUCUUUAUUUAAUGCUAUAGCCCGUGUGGCUAGAUCUGUUGCUUUUAUUUAAUUAUCUACUUCUUUCUUAUCUUUAAAUCAGUUGCAUGUCUUCUAUUGCUGAUUCUAUCGCAUCUUCUUCAUCAUUCUCAAAAUCCAACAUCCGAUAAAAUUUUUCAAUCUCAUGACUCUUUUUUUAAUAAAUUACAAUAUGUCAUGGAGUCUCGUGGUC